UCUACGCGAGUCUACGUAGACAGCGCCAGUAACGCGACCGGUUGGUAGACUUGUUGUUUUGCUGAGAGGGUCUCUUGUCGUUCCUUUUCCAUCGCGUCGCCUCUCUGCCGGCUGCCCUGUUCAAUAGUGAAUGCCGUAGCGAGUAGCGGCCUCCUCAGCUAGCACGUCAGCCGGUCGCUCGGCUGCUUGCUUUGUCGGUCGGUCUCUUCGCCUUUCAUUUAGUUCAUCAGUAUCGAAGCGAAAGUCCUGGAGACAGUAUCUUGCUCAAAACGCUUGCGAGGCUCUUCUGUUCUUCGCCGAACUUACGGAUCUCAGGGCGCAAUUUUUCGACUGAUAAGUCAUCGAUUACACUCUGGUAUUUCAACGGAAUUCCCUCAACAUGUCGAACUCGAGCAAGAAUGAUACGCAAGGUGGGACAAUCACUAACAUGACGCGUCGACACUCAGCCGACGAAGUUGUCCGAGGUGGCUUCUUCAUGCGAGGCUUAGCAGGCAUGGGUUCACGAAUCGGACGUGAGCGCACCGUCUCCGAAGUUGUACAUGAGACCCAUGAGUCCACACCGCCGACGGAAUCAUCGCAGAAAGAGAGGAGAAUCUCGGUCAUGUCGCUUUGUCCAAUAUAAAUUCAAGAGAUGCAAGAACAUUCCGAGUUGAUGAGAAACGGGUAGGAGAACCAGAGAGCUCCGGACAGGAGGUCGGACUCGGAUCAUGUGAUGCCCGCUGCCUCUCCACGAGGUCUAUGCGAAAAUCGACCGCGUUCGGCUAGCGUCCGAGAUGGCUUCCGUGAAGUCAAGCUCAUCGCCUUCCGAUACACAUUUAUGCUUAUCUGUGUAAGCUCCGUAUUCAAGAGGACGGAUGAUUAUAUUUUUUCCUCAAAACUAUAUGUAUGAAUCGUUGAAUGUUAUACCACCCGCGUGGCGCCGGGGCUCUUCGACGACUGCUCUCGGAAGCCGCUUACACAUCGAUCACAAACACACAAUCAACCAAACAGGUAUACUCCUGGACACACACACAAGACGCUCCCCCAAAGCAAAGCCCUGUAUCCGACCGCGAAAAUUCCAGCUGUGGAUUAGGGAUGUUCGGAAUGCGGUCGAUCCCCGCCAUUGGUAUCCCGGUAUUGACUGAAGAACAAUUCUAGCAUCGGAUGCUCCUUCUUUUGAGAAAUUGUGGAAAGCGAGGGUGAUACUCGCGAAACCGUUGUCGAAGCAGCUAGUCGAUUUUUUUUCUUAUUCAGCCAUUUGUCUUCCGGGGCGAGCGCGUGAGUUCUUGUGUGUGCUGCUCGUCUGUGAACUCGCUUCUGCGUUCGAUGUUUUAAACAGAGACGCACUACACAAUAGGUAGAAGAGACAGAUGCUGAGCAUGUUAACGGAAGCUCCCGGAACGAGCUUCCAGAGACCGUCGACUGAAGAUCGGAAAGCUUGUGGUCGAACACUUUUGUUCUGUUCUUUCCCUCGUGCGGGCCAACAUGUUGAGUGGGGCGCGAGGGACUGAGUCGAUCGUCGUCGAUAGAUAUCCGGUGUGAGUUAACGAUACAUAGAUUCGUUCUACGUCUUCGUGCUCGAGCGACUUUCGGGAUCGGCGUCCCUGAACGGUCAGCAUGUAAUGUGAAUAAGACAACUGUGUAACUAAUGAUGGAUAUCUUGUAAUUAUGGAUGGACACUCUUUCAAAGAUAUCACGCAGGACCGAGAAAGAGAACAGUCAUUUUCACGGUACUCUGAACAGAUUGUGGUAAGGACGUUGAGGUAAUAAAGUCGGUACUCGUGUACCAUGAAACAA
RNAcentral lists this long non-coding RNA (1776 nucleotides) under Galendromus occidentalis (western predatory mite). RNAcentral's name for it is "uncharacterized LOC100901749". The record is from RNAcentral. Lineage: Eukaryota; Metazoa; Arthropoda; Arachnida; Mesostigmata; Phytoseiidae.